GUCUACAGCCAUGCCACCCUGACCAUGCCUGUUCUCAUCUGAUCUCAAAAUCUAAGCAGGGUCGGGCCUGGUUAGUACUUGGGUAGAAGAAUGAAAUUAGAUAGUAUGUGUGCU
This 114-nucleotide ribosomal RNA is filed under the name Chinchilla lanigera (long-tailed chinchilla). Lineage: Eukaryota; Metazoa; Chordata; Mammalia; Rodentia; Chinchillidae. The record is from RNAcentral.